Molecule: long non-coding RNA, 5124 nt
Filed under: Equus caballus (horse)
Lineage: Eukaryota; Metazoa; Chordata; Mammalia; Perissodactyla; Equidae
Description: lncRNA (ENSECAG00000051620.1)
Source: RNAcentral
CUCAAUUCCUUUUGUCCUGAUAUUUCCUUGUGACUUAAGGUCACAGGGAUGCUGUGGGUCAGGAGCUUCACCACAAAGUGGGAUUCUUUGAAGGGCAAGGACUGCCCACAGAAGGAUGCCCACCAUCCCAAUAGACGAAAGGAAGUCAAAAGACGCCUGAAAUGAAUCAUCACUUACCAUGGGCGAAUUGUAUGGUAUGUGCAUUAUAUCUCAAUCAAAAAAAAAAAGAGAGAGAGAGAGACAGUCUGAAGUUUCCAGGUCUCCAGGACCCUUGGAGACUCUUUCAUGGCAUCCUGAAAACCCCAGCCUGAGCAUCAGAGCCAUUUCCUUCUAUUUACAAAAGCACCAGUGGUCACCUUCUUCAAGGGCCGCUGGAAAUGGUGUGGAGAGUCUGGAGCAAACUGCUAAAAACCGUGCAGUCAAAAUUCACCUGCGGAGCAGACCUGCUGACUCUGGCACUUCUGGGGGAUUGCAUAUCCUACAGAUGUCCCUGGUAGGUGGCCACGUGGAGGCCACACUGGAGCUGCCAUAACCCGUCUACAGAUGAACACACAGACCUGGGAUUUGGGCACCAGCUGGAACGCUAGAGCUGCCAGGUGGAAGGUCUCAUUUCUGGUCCCAUUUCUCAGGUGCCAACGCUGAUGACCAAACUCUCCAUCACCAACCUCUGCCCCCACCGGGGAAUAAACGCCCACUGGAGACAGAGGGCGCAGCUCUGGGGUCAGGAUAUUGGGGCCCACGGUCUCGCCCACGAUUUUGUCUUCACAUCCUGAAAACCCUCUCUCAGGGAGCUGGGAAAAUCCAAUCGCCCCCACAGCUCAGGGGGCUCUGACUGGAACCAGCAGUAGCACCACCAGACCACCAGACCCAUGGCCCGCAGCUUGGGGUCAUCUGCAUCCGGUGCUGGGCUCCUCAUGGCUCCAGUUAAAGGAAGGCAUUAGUGUGCCUUAAUCCAUUUGAAUGACUUCAAAUCCAGCUGGCCGCUGCCUUGGCACCGCAGCCCAGCUUUCCGCCCCACCACCACCUCCUUUGCGGUCAGCCCGCGGGACUCACAGCAUCGCGGUUGCCCAGACAACACCUCAACCCACGGCCAGAGCUGCAUCGUGAUUGGUCCAAGCUCAAGAGCUUGCUAAUCUCCCUAGCAGCGAUUGAUUAGAAGUGGACACGUGACACAGCCUGGAUCGGUUUCCCGCCUCCUAGUGGAGAGACGGCCUUCCUCCGGAGACUGUCUGGAUGUGACAGCCCGAGGGAUGCCCAGAGCCCCAGUGGGCCAACCCUGGUACCACCCUCCCUUCAAACGACUGGUGUGAAAUAACAUAUAGCCCCAUCGACUUCGCCAGUUUCUGUCGGGCGUUUCUGUUCCCUCUGCUGGAAGCAUCCGCGCUGCUCUUGAUUCCACGAAUGCUGAGAACACCUCCUGGACCUGUGCGGAGCCAAGUCCUGCUUUGGUUGUGCCUCCUCUCACAUGGGGCGUUUCCCUUCCUUCCUCACGUGCGUGAUCUUCGCUUGACCUUCUCUAGCAACCGGACCGGCUCUUUAGUGAGAAUUACGUCUGUUUACUCUCCCACCCAAGUCCCCCCACCACCUGCGGAGAGCCAGAGCAGUGGAGUCACUGCCCUUCCCUGAGAUCCUGCCCUGUGUCAGACUGUGGGCCGGGGCUUACACAUGCUAAGUCUUAUCCUCCCCUCUGGGGUGUUAUUGUUUGGAUUUACAUAUAUGGGGACUGAAGCUCAGAGAGGUUAAGUGGCUAGUCCACAGUCACAAAGCUGGAAGUUGACAGAAACAGAAGUUGAGCCCUUCAUAGACAGUCCUGUUGCACAGGAAGUGUUCCACCGGCUACCUUAGGCCUCUGCUGUCACCCCUUCUCUCUCCUCUCCCUCCUGGCCCCUGCUCUUCAUCACACCCCCACCCUGACCUCGCUACAUGGCAGAGGAGUGGGAGCACAAGUGGCCUCCACCUCGUGGAAGGGGAAAGGAGGGAGUAUCAGUUGUCAUUGCCACACUGUCUGUGUCACACACCACCGAGACCCUCAGUGACAUGUGAUGAUGAGCUAUGUGUCCCUGCUCUGCUGGCUUUGGGCUUACCAACAUGACUUGUUUCAGCCAGUAGGCACCUGGGGAGAGUGACGCCACGAUGGUUCUGAGGAGAACUUGUCUGUUCCCACUUGAUUUGUUGCACUUUCACCAUCACUAUGAGAAAAAGCUUCUCUGGAGCAGCUGCUGCCCCUUGAGCCUGGGCCAGACAUGCACACACCUCUCCAGGAGGCCAAGACCUGACAGACUGAGGUGAUAACAAGGAAAAAGAAAAGCUGUCGAACCACACCACUCAUCUGUCAGUAGCCAGGCUGUGGCAGCGGUCAUCCUUCUGGGACCUCCUAGGCUCUCUGGGGGCAGGACUCUGGCUGUAUGGUGAUAGAAGAUCGCUAUGAUGAAGGUCAACCUUGUGGAUGAUACUUUUUUGCUGGGCCAAUUACUUUGCAUAAAGCCGGAAAAUGAUUCAUCUGUGUAGUCCAGCUUAGCAGGUCCUCAGCAGAGAACACCUUUAGAAAGCGACGGAGAGGGUGAAAUCGAUUUUCCUAUGAGGGUAUACAUUUCUGCGUCCUCACCAUAUGCAGUUGGAUGAGUUAUAAGCACACAUGCCCAUUACUUCUAUUCAGUUUGACACACUUAGAAUAAAUGGCCAGGCUUUAGAGCUGCUUCUGUUUUAUCUUUGUAGUUCUGGGCCCAAGAAGGCAAACUCUUUCAGUUUUAGUUCCUGUGUCUUCAAGGCUGUACCCUUGAGUUUUGGCAGAAAGUCCUUAAGGAUUCCGGGCUGCUGUGCCCCUGGGGCUUCGAACUUCCAGAACUUUCUCCCAUUCCAUUCUCUUUUUUUCUGGGCUCACGGAUCCUCAUCUCCUUUGAAAUCCCUGUGGAUAAGAUGGUGAAACACAGGCUGGAAGCCACUGAGAUCUGAGAGCUGAGCAACUAGUUGAACAACUGUGCCUAAAGGUGUCCCAGAAGCAGAUGGGUGUUAACUGAAUGGGGUCUGCAAGGGAGGCCCUGGCUGCCCUUGGCACUUCCUUGUUCUAUAUUUGUGUCUGCAACAGCUGAAUUCGGACAUGACCUGGGUAUAGAAAACAUAUUAGCCUAAUAGUUAAGAAUAUGGGCUGGCACCAAACCGCUGGGUUGAAGUCCGGCACUGCCACACACUAGCUAGUUGUCCUGGAGCAAGUUAUUUAACUUCCCUAUGCCUCAGUUUACUCAUCUAUAUAAUGGGAAUCCUAAUAGUUUCCACUUUAGAAUUGUUGCGAGGAUUGAGAGUUAAGCACCUAGAAUUUACUGUUCCUGUGUUGGUCGUUGUUACAACAGUUGUUGGGUGUAGUUGUAAUAACAGGGAGUUGCAACACUAGCAGGUGGGAGGGGGAGUAAAUGCACCAGCUGACAAAAUGGGAUCCAGAAUAUCUCACUAAGUCACGGUGAUGGGCAAAUUUAACAAUAAAGCUGACUGCUGUGCCCCCAACAGCACAGGAUGAGAAAAACAUGGUUUUGCAGUAGUACAGGAGAAAAUGAUGUGAGGGAUCGUUCCAUAGUAAAUUUAAUAGGAAUCAACUCAAGUGGUGGGUUACCAUACAAAAAAAACUUACAUAAUCUCCCCCCGUGUCCCUUAGAUGUGGGUGAUUGGAAGGGGGAGGGCACCGGCCUUAGCCUGGACAGGCAGACCACACCUGGACAAAUUUGGGGUGCCCACUGUGAAGGGAGUCUAGACAGGCAGGAAUGCGUGCAGAGGAGAGUGAGCUGAUCCUGCAGGGGCUGGAAGGCAUGUGACUCAGUAAGCGAUGCCACCUGUGGUAACAAACAAGUCCCUAACCACAGAGACGGAACACAGUCGUUAAUUACUUGCUCACCUAACCGAUGUUCUGACGUAGGGGUGAGCCAUCCUCCAGCAGUGGGCCAGGGCACCUCCCUUUGUGCUGAAAGAGUGUGGAGACUAUAAGUGGAAGGCGUGUAUGGGUCAGGUCUGGAAAUGGCCACACGCAUUCACUCACAUUCUAGAGCCCCUGUGGUCACACCUGCAGGAGAUGCUAGGUAGUGCAGUCUGGCCAUGAGGCCAGCAGAAGAGACGCACUUGGCGAUCAGCCACUGGCAUCUGCCACUCUACGAAUUGUGAAGAAGGUCCAAGAAGCAGGACGCUGAGCCCGAGAAGAGUGGGAGGGCUUAAGAUGUGUCUCCAAACAUUGGAAAGGUCUCUUUGUAAAAGAGAGGAUCAUCUUUGUUGGUGUCACUUCAGAGGGCAGAAGCAGAACCUGUGGAUGGAGAGAUCUAGGGAGGCUGGUGGGGUGAACGACCAUCCUAGUUUGCCUGGACUGUCUGGUUUUAGCAAUGAAAGCCUACCUCCUGGGAAACCCAUCCGAUGACAUCAGAUGACGUUGGUCAUCCCAGCGUGGCCAACUUUGGGUUGACACAGGUGUGUCUAUCCUAGGAGCUAUCCCGGGCAACACUCCUUCCCCCGUCCCCCCACUCAUUUAGAUAUGAGUGACAGUGUUGUUGGCCGUCAGUUCAAUGUUAAUGAGCCAACAAUAGAUGUUAAAUAAGGUGUCUUUAAAGAGAAGUACAUUGAUUGACUGAUGAAAAUGUUGCAGCCAGAGGUUUGCAGGAACCUAACCCAGUGUUUCCCCUAGGAGCGAUGGUGCAGUAUUCGCUAAUUCCAUUUCAUGGUGACUUUAUAGAACAUAGCUACUGAAGAUAACAAGAAUUGACUUUAUAUCCAUACAAUGGAAUAUUUUCGGCCAUAAAAAGAAAAGAAGUCCUGAUGCAUGCCACAACAUGGAUGAACCUUGGAAACAUUUUGCUGAGUGAAGUCAGUCACAAAAGACCAUGUUUUGUGAUUCAAUUUUAUGAAAUGUUCACAAUAGGGAAAUCUCUAGAGACAGAAAGAUUAGUGGUUGCUUGGGGCUGGCCGAUGGAGGGGAGAGGGAGAGUUAGAGGGGAACAAUAGCCCCGGGGUACAGGGUUUCUUUUUGGGUGAUAAAAAUUGUCUGAAAUUGACUUUGUGAUGGUUGCACAUAUCUAUGGCUAUACAAAAACACUGAAUUGUAUACUUUAAAUGGGUGAAUUGUAUGGUAUGUGAAUUAUAUCUCAAUAAAGC